Molecule: long non-coding RNA, 1283 nt
Filed under: Trifolium pratense (red clover)
Lineage: Eukaryota; Viridiplantae; Streptophyta; Magnoliopsida; Fabales; Fabaceae
Description: long non-coding RNA (TPRA_LNC007732)
Source: RNAcentral
UAUCCCUUCACUCUCUUCAAAUCCUCCUCUAAUUUGAGAAAAUUUUCACAUGUCUUUAGAUGAAGAAAAACCCAAUUUUGAAGAAUACCCAUUUUAAUGAUUCAUUAUCUGUUGAUUUUGCAGGUUUGGUUAAUACACAUGCAGAUUGGAUUUCCCUCCAAAGGGAUAAGAUUAUUUCAAGAGGUAAAAAGUAAUUUCGAAAUUCACUUUCAGAUUCUCCCGCCUUGAAAUUCAAUCGAUUUAUUCAUUUUAUAAUUGAAAUAGGGUUAGAUGGUGAAUCUAUUUAAGCAGUUAUUGAGUUUAUUGUCUCAGCCACACCAAACAAAUUCAAAACAUUCUUUCCUCGCCUGUUGUUUCAAUUUCGUUUUUUCAAUCACUAUUUAAUUUUUGAAAACAAAAAAAAAACUGAUUUUAGUUGAAAAUGGCUUUCAUGAUUGGUAAUGGUGAGCAUUUUUCUGAAAUUGAAAAAAUUGAUUCUGAGAGAACAAGUUGAAAUUUAAAGGCAAAAAUUUUAAGGGUUUCUAGAUCAAUUCUAUUUUGUUUUAUUUUAUUUCCUUCAAUUUGAUGUUGCUUCUUUAAGUAUUUAUUGCUCAAUUCUGAUUUAAUUUUAUUUUUGGAAUGUUUUAAUGUUUGUUCAGGUUUACAAAUUAGGGUAGUUUUAUUGCAGAAUUAAUCAGAGAGAAUACUAUGCAUAUAGCAAUACUAUGCCUCUUGAUUGUAAGUACUGUUUAUGUUCUUACUUUCAGUUUUUCUGUUCUUCAAUUGGUUGUGGUUAUUAGAGGGAAAAGUUAGUUACACUAUAGAUAAUUGUUUUGAUUGGCUAUAUAAGUUUGUGUUUGGUAAGAAUCAAUACUAUCUUAAUCCAAAGCUAAAAAUCCCCUGAUUAUUUUUAUUGGAGCAUUUCAUUUGAAGGUUUUUCUCUUUGAUAAGAAUUUUUAUAUAGAUAAAAUGUUGUUUCAAUCCCUAAUGCUACUGUGGCAUGCGGGUUUAGUCAAAGAUUAUGAUUCAACUUCAUUUUUUUUAGUUUGCAUAUAUAUUCUGAUCCCAAAUGCUACUGUGAUCUGUUAAUUUCUUUAAUUUGUUUUGUUUUUAUAUCAUAUCUGCAAAUUUCUUGCAUGUUCUCCUCCUAAUUGUGUGUUUCUAUUUUGAGUAAGUGGUUUUAUGUGUUGUGUAUCAUGGUUUGUUUUAGUUUGUGACUUUUGGUCCCUUGGUUUGCAGGUAAUUUUAUUUACAAGUGAAAUCAUUUGAGUGAGUUGUGCUUUACAGGUAGUGUACAUCUUCAG